RNAcentral lists this long non-coding RNA (324 nucleotides) under Rhinopithecus roxellana (golden snub-nosed monkey). RNAcentral describes it as "lncRNA (ENSRROG00000045974.1)". The record is from RNAcentral. Lineage: Eukaryota; Metazoa; Chordata; Mammalia; Primates; Cercopithecidae.
CCAGCGUUCCCGCCCCUUCCGUGUGCACAUGGAGGCCGGGGUGGGGCGGGGCAGGCGCAGCCCGGGCUGAGCUUGCAGGGCCGCUUCACUCACCCAACCUCUUCGAGUCCUCCGCGGGCUCCGCCCCACCCGGCCCGUGAGGGAGGUUCUGUCCCGCAGCCUUCGCCCGCGAGCUGCUCUCGGGGAUGGUUCCCGCUCGCGUUGGGCGCACCUCGGCGCGCUGGGCUGCGCUGGCGCUGCUGCUCCUCGGCCUGCUCCGCCCUCUGGUGGCCGCCCCUGGGGCUGACUUGGACUUAGCAGGUGCCUUUGGUGAUGGAGGAAACA